UACGGAGGGUGCGAGCGUUGUCCGGAAUCAUUGGGCGUAAAGGGCGCGUAGGUGGCCCGGUCAGUUCGUGGUGAAAGCGCGGGGCUCAACCCUGCGUCGGCCAUGAAUACUGCCGCGGCUGGAGCACUGUAGAGGCAGGCGGAAUUCCGGGUGUAGCGGUGGAAUGCGUAGAGAUCCGGAGGAACACCGGUGGCGAAAGCGCUCAUCUGGCCCAAUACUGACGCUGAGGCGCGAAAGCUAGGGGAGCAAACGGG
Molecule: ribosomal RNA, 254 nt
Filed under: uncultured bacterium
Lineage: Bacteria
Description: partial 16S ribosomal RNA
Rfam family: Bacterial small subunit ribosomal RNA
Source: RNAcentral